RNA transcript from Tarenaya hassleriana, 7105 nucleotides. It is a transcript of the gene named transcriptional activator DEMETER-like, with no coding region annotated. The record is from RefSeq and is a predicted model, not a curated record. NCBI's taxonomy places the organism in Eukaryota, Viridiplantae, Streptophyta, Magnoliopsida, Brassicales, Cleomaceae. The transcript is spliced from 21 exons.
CUUCGUCUCCAUUCUCCCUCUCUCUCUCACGGCGGAGCUGUUUCGGUUUCUCCGGCAUUAAUUUGCCUGAGAAUCCAAAAGCUCACGCAGUUUCAGAGCUUAAAACUCCAUUGUUCUUUUUUUCCCUCCUCCGGUUUUGUGCAUUUUCUAUCUGAAAUUUGUUCCGUCCGCUAAAUUAAGCUGUUACAUCUCCGAGUCGCGAGAGUGAUCUUCUUGAUGUUUGUAUCAAUUCGAAAUUCCUGACUCUGCAUAUAACCUGAGCCAUUAACACCCGAAUUCAACUAUUCGAAACAAAACCUCAGGUUUGCUUUGUCUUCCUUCCCCAGAAACAUUUUGAUACCCCCCUUUCCUCUUUUCCUUUUUUGUUUGUUUUUCCCCGUUUCAACAUUUUGCAUUCAAUACUUUUCUAGUUUCUUCGACGAGAGAAUAUAUGGAGAGACCAUUUACUGCGUUUCAUGGUACAGAUUCUGCUCUGCUUUUAGUUGAUUUUGCCCCCAACCUGAGAUACGUAGAAAGGAGAAUUUAGCUCUUCGGCAUGGGUUUUGGUGUUUGGCCUUUUAGGUUGAUUCUGGGAGAGAGUCAGUGAGUUGGGGAAUACAGGGUAUUUGGGGAUUUGGUACUUGCGAACCGAUUUGGUUAAAUAAUCAUUUUAGUUAUGUAUCAAUAGUGGUCGAAUAGGUGAUUUAUAUAGUCGGCGUGGUAUGAAUUCGAGGGCUGAUUCCCGAGAUGGCGGGUUUCAAGUUCCUCCGGAGAAACAAGUUCAACAAAAGUUCCAAUUCAUGGGUUCUUGGAUUCCAAUUACACCCACGAAACCUGUACAAGAUACCUCUAGUCUGAUCACAGACGAGAGAGUGAGAUGCCUGGAAGGGGGUGCUGGUGGAUACACGGAGAGGGCGUUGUACAGCAACGGAGAUGUACAGGAUCUAAACCAGACUGAGAAAUGGAUGAAUCGAAAUGAGGGUUAUUACCUUAACGCUGAUUCAGGCAUGGCCAGGAGAAGCAGGCUGAUCAAUUGCAUUGCAGGAUCAUAUGCACAAACCAGUAAUAGUAAUGAGAAGGCAAAUAUUUUUGCUGGGGGUAAUGUAGCUCCCCCUCUACCUCCUGUUACUAGAAACCCCAUUGGAAAUCUGGAUACUGCCAAUGGAAACCCUACUCAAUAUUCAGGUGUGAUUAACAGUUGUUUCCCCGAGAUUGGCAAUUCCCAAGCUGGUCCUAGGGAGUUUGAGUUGGACGAGUUGUUGUUUUCCGAUCAGAUUCCUUACUCAUUUUCAAGCCUGCUGAGUGAUGGAGACCAUUUGUGCCAGGGACUUCAAUAUGGAACCCCAGCGUCUAAUCAACCUCUUUACAACCUGAAUUCACCACCCAGAGGAGAAGCUAAUGGGUCCACCUUCAGUGCAACUACUUUAAAGUUGGUACCAACAACUAAUCAAGCGAAUAAUAUUGAGAAUGGAUCUACACAUGGUCCAAAUUUUUUGACUUGUGACAACUCGGUUCAAGAGAAUGGAUUCUUGGAGAAAAGAGUUACAACCACUAGGCAAGGAAUCACCCAGCAAAAUUCUGACAGUAACAUUCAGAAUGUUGGGGACUUCUCUGUCGUUGAUUCUACAACAACUAAGGAACAAAGAGAUAGAAGCAGACAAAAUGACCAAGUGAUUGGUCUUAAGGGGACACCUCAGUUGAAACCACUGAAAAGGAAAAAGUACAUGCCGAAGGUAGUUAAGGAAAACAAACCCCAGAAGAAGGCAUGGAAACCAGCAACUCCAGCAAAUGCUAAACCUAAAGAGACUGGAACCAGCAGAAGGAAGCGAGCACGAAAGACAAGCUUGAAAGAAUCAGACACUGCUAGACAGACAAGCAACUCUAACCCUGAAGUUUCUGCCAAGAGUUGCAGAAGAGCUUUAGCUUUUGACUUGGAGAAAAGUGGGGAUGCGAGGCAAGAUCACGCUGAGAUUCUCCAGAAGGUUGGUGGCUCAAACUCAGUUUCUGAGACAAGAGUUACAACUACUAGGACUAUCAGCAGUUGCAUGGAUUCAGUAACACAGAUUGACCAGAAUGUUCAAUUACUGACUCCAAACCAAUCUUUUGGAUUAUCGACGGGAACCCAGCAUGCUGGAUUGUCAGGGGGAGAUAAGCCGUCUGCGUUACCUACAGGAGAGAGGCAACCUGAAUUAACAAAUGGAAAUCAACCAGCUCGAUUACUGGCAAGAGAUGAGCAACCCAAAAUAUUGAUCGGAACCCAGCAACAUAGAUUCUUGAUUGGAAGGCGGAAAUGCGAUUUUCCAGUGGCAAACCGGCAAACCCAGUUCUCAACUGAAUACCGGCAACCUCAUUUCCCUACGGGAAUCCAACCCCUUGGCUUGCCAGUCGGGAUGCAGCGGUCUUUCUUGCCUAUGGGAAACCAGCAACCUCGCUUGCUGAUGGGAAACCAACAAUCUCCGUUGCUGAUGGGGAACAUGCAACCUGGGUAUCUGAUAGAGAACCAGCACUCUGGAUAUCUCGCAGGCAACGGGCAACCUGGAUUUUUGAAUUGGAAAAACCAGCAAGCUUGUUUAGCUACAGCAAAUCAACAAUCUGGAUUGUCGAUAGGCAUGCAGCAACCUGGCUUGCCAACAGGAGGACUGCAACCUGGAUUACAGAUGAAAAACCAGCAACCUGGAAUACAGAUGAGAAAUCAGCAACCUGAAUUACUGAUGAAAAAUCAGCAACCUGGAUCAUAUAUGAGAAAUCAGUUGCCUGGUUUACCUGUGAUGAACCGGAUGCCUGGAAAUCCAGGUGGCUUUACUUCUCACUUGAAUAAAAUGGUAGCUGCCUACUUGCCAUCAUCUGGAACUCGAGCACAUGGGUCUUUGUCACAAACUUCUGCAACAAAUUUGCAUGCAGAGAUUCUUAAAACUGUUUCCAGAAAAUUGAGUGCAAGGACUGCUGGAACAUGUCAUAGAAGCAGCAGCAAUGAAUAUGGUUUUUCACAGCAACGUAUCCCUCAAGAAAGUAGCUACAUGCAAUACCAAAAUAAAUGCAACGGUGAACCUCUUGAUGAACUCAGGAAAGCAGUACCUCAAAAUAUUCAAAGAUCAACUCCAUCAAUUUUAUCCAAACCUUUUGAAUCCAGGGGAACCAAGAGAGAGUGUAAUCAUGCAACGGGGCAGAUGCAAAAUCAUGAUUUGGAUAGAACUGAUAAUUGGUCCUUGCCCCAACAGAUAGCUCAAUCGCAAGAUUUAGCAAGAGGCAACAUCCAUAUAGGUGCAGCAUUACUGGAAUCUUCAAAGAAAAUGAAAAUUCAGAAAGAAUUCCCUGUCAAUAUGGAUGGCGUCCCUUAUGAGGUAAUGGAAGUCAAAGAUGAUCCUAAUGAUGACUCCCAAAAAGAUAUAAAUAAUGUCAGCAUCAACGAAAUUGCAUUGAAAGGAAAACCUUGUCCAUUUCAAAUUUCUGUCAAUAAUGGGAAAUGCAUUAUUACCCCACCAAAACCCCCAAGAAUGGCCCCUGCAGUGGGAAAUCAACUAGUAGCUCCGCUUGCUCAUGCUUCAGAGGCCCAGAGUUCAGAAUCUGCUCAAACCAAGACAUCUUCAUCGAGAAGUAAGGCUCAAGCGAAACAGAAGUCCCUACAACAUUCAGGAAAAACAAGAGGGGAACUUCUGUCUCAAGACCCUGUUGCAGACAUGAUCUGCGGGUUGCAGAAUCUUAGUAUAGGUGGCGAAACCAUAGAUCAAAUGGAGCAAAAUUCACUUGUUUUAUACCGAGGAGAUGGUGCAGUUAUUCCAUAUGAGAUCAAGAAGCGUAAGCCAAGGCCUAAAGUGGACCUUGAUGAGGAAACAACUAGGAUAUGGGAUCUAUUGAUGGGAAAGGGGGGAAACGAAGGUGAGCAACAAAUGGAUAAGGAAAAAGAGAAGUGGUGGGAGGAAGAGAGGAGAGUUCUUCGAGGGAGGGUAGAUUCGUUCAUUGCCCGAAUGCAUCUUGUACAAGGAGAUAGACGUUUUUCACCAUGGAAAGGAUCAGUGGUUGAUUCGGUCAUUGGUGUUUUCCUUACCCAAAAUGUUACAGAUCAUGUUUCGAGCUCUGCUUUCAUGUCUUUAGCAGCUAUAUUUCCUCCAAAAGCACACAGGAACCAAGCAGAUGAAAGGAAUAGACCUAGGGUAAUUGUUGAAGAUCCAGAAGGAUUCAUUCUGAACUUAAAUGACAUCCCUGCAUGGCAGGAACAGGUAAUUGAUCAUCCAUGUGACACACAAGCUUCUGGGGUUGACAAUGGGUCAAAAGAUCAGCAAAAGGACAGUUCAAACUCUGGAGCAGACAGAAUUUCUUUUCUAGGAAACUGUAGUCAAAAUUUAGAAAAUGAAACAUUAUCAUCACAAGAUUCUUUUGAUCCUGCAACAUUUCAGUCUAGUGGAGGAGUUAGAUCAUGUUCAGGUUCCACUUCAGAUGUGGAGUUUUCUACAACUAGGCGUGAAUUAAAAUCUGUCAGUGGUUCAACAAAAUCAGUUCAAAUUGGGAAGUCAACCUUGUUAGAUGAUUUUUAUUGUCAAGGGCAUGGAAGAUAUCUCGUGUAUGAAGGAUCUGAUAAUAUUCUGGUAGAAACAGAAAAUAUUUUUCUGCAGAAACCAAGAACAGAGAGACUAAACAACGGGAAGGACUCCUUACCUUUCUGUCAUUCAAGCAACCAUGUCAAUUGUCACAAACAGGUACUUACCAACCCUUCCAGUAGCUAUCAAAAGAACCCGAUUCUGCAGCAACAGGAGCUAGAAAUAGAGGAUUUUGGAAUCCAUGGUGAGAGAAAUGGUUGUUCUUGGCUAUCCAUUGCUCCAAGAAUUGAAAAAGGAAGGAACCAAAAUGAGCCCUUCAGUGCGAUGAGACAGGCCGGAAAUGUUGCACUGCAAACCACAGGUCAAAAAGGAACAUCAAUGCCUCGAGAAACACCAGAGUUAGGAUUGCAUACUUUCCCAGGCAAGCACCUUGAUUGUCAACUAUGUGAUACUCAACAAAAUGAGAUGAAUAAAGCAUCCCAGUCGCAAAGCACAUUCACAGAUUUGCUUAACUCUUCUGGAGAAUGUCUUACAAGACACUCAAGUGCCACACAACACAUGACAGAUGCCCUUCUACUGGAUACGAAAAAUGCUGAAGAGGUGGUUGGUCCAUUCCAUAGGAAGGCUAGCUUGGAGAACAGAAAGGCCAAAUCAAAUUCCAGAAACCGAGAGCAUUUGACAAUUCAAUACAGGGAGACCAAUUCCAAUAAUGUACGAGAGAGAAAAGAGAAGCUUGAUUAUGGGACAAUCCACUGGGAUAGUCUCAGAAAAGAUGUGGAGGCCAAUGGAAAGACAAGACAAAGGAGUAAAGACGCUAUGGACUCCCUCGAUUAUGAAGCACUUAGAUGUGCUAGCGUCGGCGAGAUUUCUGAGGCUAUCAAGGAAAGAGGGAUGAAUAACAUGUUGGCAAGACGAAUUAAGGCAUUGUUGGAUCGGCUUGUUAAGGAUCACGGUAGCAUUGACCUUGAAUGGCUAAGAGAUGUCCCUCCUGAUAAAGCCAAGGACUAUCUCUUGAGCAUACGAGGACUGGGUUUGAAGAGCGUGGAAUGUGUGCGACUCUUAACACUUCAUAAUCUUGCUUUUCCGGUAGACACAAAUGUUGGAAGGGUUGCAGUUAGGCUCGGGUGGGUCCCUCUCCAACCUCUGCCUGAGUCACUUCAGUUGCACCUCUUGGAACUGUACCCAGUGCUUGAGUCCAUCCAAAAAUAUCUUUGGCCAAGACUCUGCAAACUUGAUCAGCGAACACUGUAUGAACUACACUACCAGUUGAUUACAUUCGGAAAGGUUUUUUGCACAAAGAAGAGACCAAAUUGCAAUGCAUGUCCAAUGAGGGGAGAAUGCAGACACUUUGCCAGUGCUUUUGCUAGUGCAAGACUUGCUCUGCCGGCACCAGAGGAGAGGAGCUUAACCGUUGCAAUUAAUCCAGUUGGUCCCCAAACUGCCCCCACCAUGGCUAUUCCUACCAUGGAACUGCCUCCUCCAGAACAAAAUCCACCAACUGAAGCUUCAAAUGGCAGUAAUUGUGAACCCAUAAUUGAAGAACCAGUGACUCCAGAGCAAGAAUGCACAGAAAUAACAGUGUGUGACAUUGAGGAUGCUUACUAUGAUGAACCAAACGAAAUCCCGACCAUAGAACUCGACAUGAAUCAGUUCAGCACAACUCUACAGGAUUAUAUGGAAAAGAACAUGGAACUCCAAGAAGGUGACAUGUCCAGGGCUUUAGUUGCUUUGGAUCCAGCAACAGCAUCUAUUCCGUCUCAGAAACUGAAGAGUAUUAGUCGGUUGAGGACAGAGCACUAUGUGUAUGAGCUCCCAGAUUCACAUCCUCUCUUGGACGGUAUGGACAAAAGAGAACCAGAUGAUCCUAGUCCAUAUCUCCUGGCUAUUUGGGCACCGGGUGAAACUGCCCAUUCAACUCAACCACCUGUAAGGAAGUGUGAAGGGCAAGAGCUGGGCAAGUUGUGCAGUGAUGAGACUUGUUCUGCAUGCAAUAGCGUGAGAGAGGUGAACUCGCAGAAAGUCAGAGGAACCCUUCUGAUACCUUGUAGAACAGCCAUGAGAGGGAGCUUUCCUCUGAAUGGGACAUACUUCCAAGUUAACGAGGUCUUUGCAGAUCAAGAGUCCAGCAUCAACCCCAUUGAUGUUCCUAGAGACUGGAUAUGGAAUCUACGUAGACGAAUAGUAUACUGCGGGACUUCUGUAACCUCGAUUUUCAGAGGUCUUUCAACGGAGAAAAUACAGUACUGCUUUUGGAAAGGAUUCGUAUGUGUUCGGGGUUUUGACCGAAAGACACUUGCGCCCCGGCCCCUGAUGAAAAGACUGCAUUAUCCAGCGAGUAAACUGAAGGCGGCCAAACCCGAAGGCACGGAAUAAAGAAAGAAAGUUUGCUUCUUUGCCUCUUUACUGCUAUCUUUCAAAUAAAAAGCAGACAAUGGUCCAGGAUGUUCUGUCGAAAAAAAAGGAAUAACAAGAGCAUGACUUGACUUCUAAAGGAAGAGGACCCGCAUGUACCCAGAAUACGGAUUUCCAAUCACCAACAAAACCAAAAAGGAAAAGAAGAUAUUGAAACGCGUUGAGGGAGAUUACAAAAC